This 981-nucleotide long non-coding RNA is filed under the name Triticum aestivum (bread wheat). RNAcentral describes it as "long non-coding RNA (TAES_LNC010863)". Lineage: Eukaryota; Viridiplantae; Streptophyta; Magnoliopsida; Poales; Poaceae. The record is from RNAcentral.
CUCGUCAAAUGACACUAGAUUAGUGUACUACAUUUUCUGUAGACUAUUACAACCUAGGUAUACCAGCUAUUACAAUAUUACAGUCAAAUAGAACAGACAACUCUUUGCUGAGUAGCACUUCACGGCUUCACGCUUUUCUUCACGUCUUCGCACUUCCAACUUUCUUAGGCCUGGAGCUCCUGUAAAAGAGGAACCGAUUAAAGAAGUUACGCGCAGCUAUAUUUGCUACAGAUCAGCUAUCAACUCGAUAUUUAUGUACACCAUACAGAAAUUGUUUCCAGUUAGAAGUUCACUUGAUACUCAACUCCUUUAUUUGUGUCCAUUUAGUGCAAGUCCAUUAUCCAUGCAUAUAAACUUUUGCUCCCAGCCAGCACCUACCCAACUGAGUACAAGUCAGGAGGCCACUACUAUUAAACCAACUCAAGUGAGAGAGCCAGCAAACUAGGUGGGAUAUUUCCUUAUCACUAAAAUUAAAAAUUUGAGCACACCAAAAAUUGAUUGUGUGUCAUAAGAUGAUCCUGAGAGUGCAGCACCAUGUUACCAUCUCUAAAGCUCAUUAGCCAGCAGCAAAAAUUGUGUAACAUAUGUAUAACCAUUGCAAACAACCUUAGCAGAAUAAGUAGAACAAAAUUUCAUGUAAAAUCUUGGUAUAACCAGUAGAUUAUCCCCUAAUAGAAGCUAAUUAGGCUCCAAUACAGAAGGCAUAGCAAGCACAGACUAAAUAAGCCACGACCAUGAAACAGAGCAUGGUAUUAUAGCAGCUCAGAAAUGGAGCUAGAGGUAGGAGAAGGACUCACCGGAGAGGAGGUUGUAGUCGAAGCCGCACACAGGCACCGCCACCACCGUCACCCUCUAGAGGAGACGCUGCCGCUUCAUCGACAGACUCAUCUGGUACAAGGAGAUCAUCAAAAUGCAUCACACUCAUGAUCAUCAAAACGCAGCAGCAGGAGCAAAUACAAGUUUAGCCCACCAUGAACAGGG